ACACACAAUACAUUAAUGUAUAUAUCAAAGUUCAAUCACAUGCUUUAUUACAUCAAAAAUCUCAUAUCGAACCUUUAUUACAAUAAUAAUAAAUUGGCUAAAGGCCAACUCAUGAGAGAAAACUACUGCGGAAGCAACGAAGGUAGAUGAGUCCAUCUGACUCCAAGAGCAACACCGAGAACGUAGACCUUACUCCUGCCGGAAAAUACCUCUGCAACAUGAUAAGUUGCAGCCGCGUACGUCAGCAUUUUGAAUACGUCGGCAAAGUUACAGAGAAAACAGAUAAAAAUUGUAUCACUAUAUGUAAUGUGGUUGUAGCGGCUCUAAGUUUAAGUUUUUUCAUAAAAGCUAAUUCUUUCCUACUCAAGAGGAAAAUUAAUUACCACAAAUUAAUGUCAUUAAUGAGAUAUUUCCGCCAACCAAAUUCUCAUAACCCAGUUACAAUUAAAUCCAAUUAUUUUAUAAUAAAUGUGUCGAGAGUCCCUGAUAGUUCCAAUUCCAGAGGCUCAAGUUGUCCAUAAUCGAGAACACGGCUAAUUGAUUGGUUUAAUACUCCACAGAGUUUUGUGCACUUUCCCCACAAGAUUUGAUCCCUCCUUUUACGUCCUUGCACUGCUGUUGUUUAAGAACAGAAAGAUCAAAACAUGGUCUUUCGGAGAGUUUCCCUGAGCCACUGACAGUGCCCAUCCAAUCCUACCAUUUGUCUACAUCUGGUAGCACUGUCCGGUGAGAGUCACAACUAAGAUCAACCAAGUCAGAGCCCAUAUUGACUUGUAGUUGCAGUAUCCAUCCGCCUCUUUGAGUCUGGGUGGAACUUUCGUCAUCAUAACUGGCCUACUCCAGCUCGAAAAUCCACUUGUACUCCAGGGUGCCCUUCAACCAUUCCACCCAGAGAUAUAUUAAAGUCUUGAAAUCUUGAGGUUGUAGUCCUGAUCAAAAUUUAUAUCACACUCAUAACUCACAUAUAUCACUCAACCAAUCCCUGUCUACUAAAGCGUACCAACUUAAUAAAUUCAUCGUUUCCCGGGCAUUGGUAACAAGGGUGUGGGGUUUCAUACCUCAUAAUACUACUCAAGAACAAGUUCAAUAUUAUCUACUUAAUGCAUGAUGGAAAGUUUGAAUGUAAUGCAAUAAAAUCAUGAAUAUUACCAAACAUAUGAUCAAAUGUGACUUGACUUGGUGAUGUCCUUCAAACUCUAACGACUGAUAGUAGCAAGCUUCGCACUCCGGAUAAUCUAACGAAGCAAACAAUGACAUGCAUAAGCAAUCAUACUAACAAUGAAAGGAAUUCAACGAGUAAAAUAACAGGAAAACAAUAAAGAAAUCCAGAAGAAAAAACAAAGAAAAAUUAAAAGAAAUUUUACAAAACUUAGGUAAAACUUAAAUUCUAAUCAAACAAAAACAUAAAUAGUUUUCUGAUUAAAAUAAAAGUUUAACGAAAGAUAAAACUUAAUAUUAUUAGAUUAAUAAAAUGUAUUUUACUACAAAUUUAAUUAGCAAAAAGAAUCAAUUGAAAAGCUUUUGUAGAUCCAAAGUUAUGGCAAACAAGAUUCAACUUAGAAUUGAACAAAACUAAUUUUANNNNNNNNNNNNNNNNNNNNNNNNNNNNNNNNNNNNNNNNNNNNNNNNNNNNNNNNNNNNNNNNNNNNNNNNNNNNNNNNNNNNNNNNNNNNNNNNNNNNNNNNNNNNNNNNNNNNNNNNNNNNNNNNNNNNNNNNNNNNNNNNNNNNNNNNNNNNNNNNNNNNNNNNNNNNNNNNNNNNNNNNNNNNNNNNNNNNNNNNNNUUUUAAUUAAUUAUAAAAAUUUAUUACUGUUAUCUAACAAAAACUUUAGUGUAAUUAAAUUAAAGUUUAAAAAAAUAACUUGAAAAUAAAAGAAAAUAAUUUUCUUCUCAUUAAAACAAGCCUAACAGGUUCAGAUUUGAAACUGAUCAAAAUAGAUCUAAAAUAGUCUUCAAAAAUUAUUUUUAUUACUCCUCUGGAUAAAUAAAACAUAUAUAAAAUAGUGGCAAAAAGAAUCACUUGAAAACCUAUUUUUAAAUAAAAGUUAUGCUCAAAUGGGUGUUUGAAACAAAUCUGUAUUUAAAAGGUUCAAACAUAGAACUUUUGGAUCCAAUAGAAACUACACGAUUUUAUUACUGUAGCAAUUGGAAUCACUCCAUUUGGAUCAGUAGAUUAGGAGGUACGAUUUUUUAAGAUUGGCUAUUUUUCUAAAAAUUGAAUUACGAGAUUUUAGUGGAGCUCACCGGGGUUAGUUGCAGGAGUUGGAAGAUGGCGGAAACGAAAUUGGAUCUGAUGAUGUAGUGAUUCCAGGAGGAAGGCGAGCAUGGGACGGGGAAGAGGGUGUCGCAGCAACUUCAGGGGAGGCCGAGGCAGGCCAACCGAGCCUUGGCGAUGGAGAAGCCGCCAGAGUUUUCGAACUCCGACGAGUUCUUGCAGACCGUAGGGUAGGGGAAUGGGGGCUCCCGAGGGGGAAAUCGGUCGAGGGGAAUGAGUGGGACCUCGGGGGGCUUUAUAUAGGGGCGGGGAGGGCCGAGGGCGCGACGAUAAGCCGAGAAAAAUCCGUCCGUUACCAAAUUUCCGGCGGGCGAAGAUCUCGGCCUUGAUGGCCAUAAAGGUGCGGGGAGGCGGGGAAGUAAGGUGCGGGGCGUGGAGGAAGCUUCCUACGGCUAGGGGAGGAAGGAAAGGGGGGCCCGUGGCGCGCGGAUCACGCAGCCAUGGCUUGUGGUGGCGAUCUGAAACGCCCAGUUGUGAGGUUGACGACGACCUCGUGAGGGAGGCUAGGCCUCAGGUGGGCUAUUUCCGUUUUCUUUAAACAGCGAUGGAAAAGAAAGAAACAGAAAAUGAAAAUGAAUUUUGUAGGAUACAAAAUUUAUAUCGAAAAUCUUGAAAUAAAACAUAGAAAAAUAUGAACUAUUUUUCAUAGAAAAAUUAAAUACUUUUAAAAUAUAUUUUUUGAAAAUUCCAAAAAGAAUAGGAAUUUGAUUUUCAAAUUUUUUUGUUUCUAUUUUUUUCAAAAAAAAAAUCCAAAUUUGUCUCUGGUUUUGAAGGGUCAUGUUCCUUCACUCAUAUAUUUUGUAAUUAUCAAAGAACAUGGAAAAGUCUUACCUCGGAGAAGAAAAGGGAUCAAAUGAAAACUUCAAAAGGACUUCAAAUGGGAAUCCAAAUUUAAAUGGCACUCAAAUGCAAGAUGGCAUGUAAGUAUGCAUAGCUAUAUCAUAACAUACCAAAAUGCAAAUUUUGAGAUGCUACAUUAAGAUUAGUGAUAACUUUUCAGUGUCAACUCAACAAAAGAGUAAGCCAUUUCUACUAUGAAACUUGUGAAGACACGACUUCUAACUAAAAUAGGGGACACUUUUCUUCGCCAUUGCAUCAUAGUCUAUAUAGAGAAUGUACUAGCAGAAGUUCAAUUCUGAAAAGAUAUCCGAGACUGUUGAUCUUCGUAGUCGUAAUGCUCCUAGUUCCCCCCUCCCUCCAAAGUUUUGGCUCCAUUCUUGACCACAUUUGCUCCUAGUUCCCCCCUCCCUCCAAAGUUUUGGCUCCAUUCUUGACCACAUUCCCAAUUGGAUUUGUGGUGUUGCGUUGGUUCCUCAUUUGAAUCGACGACAGUCAGCACAUGUUCUAGUAAAUUCAUACUCUUCCAAGAUUAGUUGAUAGGGGCCCUCAAAUAUACAAAAACACCUACACCAUCUUGCUUUCCAGGAGGGUGUUGCCAAAUUUGAACAUCAUGAUCAACUUGGGCAUUAACUUUAGUAGGAUUAAGGCUGUCAUCUUUGCUAGCUUGCGACAUCGUUUAUAUAUUUGUAUUAGCAUCAUGUUCGCACGGCUGAUAGCUUGAAUCGAUUGGCUUGCAAAAAUUAUGAAUUGAUCUGGCUCUCUUUCUGUUCAUAUUACACACACAACCACAUGCAUGUGAACAAACUGAAAUUUCCUAAUUAGUUUUGGUUGUUUGUAUUUUCUUACAAUUCUACAUCCAUAAUUUAGAAGUCACAGAUUUAAUCUGCAUGACUGGUCUUUGGAGUAAACUAACCUUUCUUCCUUGCCUCUUCGCCGCUCAUCCUAACCGGCC
This 4067-nucleotide long non-coding RNA is filed under the name Triticum aestivum (bread wheat). Its description in RNAcentral is "long non-coding RNA (TAES_LNC008504)". Lineage: Eukaryota; Viridiplantae; Streptophyta; Magnoliopsida; Poales; Poaceae. The record is from RNAcentral.